GUAGGUGGUUUGUCGCGUCGUCUGUGAAAUCCCGGGGCUUACCUCGGGCGUGCAGGCGAUACGGGCAUAACUUGAGUGCUGUAGGGGAGACUGGAAUUCCUGGUGUAGCGGUGAAAUGCGCAGAUAUCAGGAGGAACACCAAUGGCGAAGGCAGGUCUCUGGGCAGUAACUGACGCUGAGGAGCGAAAGCAUGGGUAGCGAACAGGAUUAGAUACCCUGGUAGUCCAUGCCGUAAACGGUGGGCGCUAGGUGUAGGGGACUUCCACGUCUUCUGUGCCGCAGCUAACGCAUUAAGCGCCCCGCCUGGGGAGUACGGCCGCAAGGCUAAAACUCAAAGGAAUUGACGGGGGCCCGCACAAGCGGCGGAGCAUGUGGAUUAAUUCGAUGCAACGCGAAGAACCUUACCUGGGCUUGACAUACACCAGAUCGCUGCAGAGAUGUAGCUUCCCUUGUGGCUGGUGUACAGGUGGUGCAUGGUUGUCGUCAGCUCGUGUCGUGAGAUGUUGGGUUAAGUCCCGCAACGAGCGCAACCCUUGUCUUAUGUUGCCAUCACGUGAUGGUGGGCACUCAUGAGAGACUGCCGGGGUUAACUCGGAGGGAGGUGGGGAUGACGUCAAAUCAUCAUGCCCCUUAUGUCCAGGGCUUCACACAUGCUACAAUGGUCGGUACAGCGAGUUGCCACACCGUGAGGUGGAGCUAAUCUCUCAAAGCCGGCCUCAGUUCGGAUUGGGGUCUGCAACUCGACCCCAUGAAGUCGGAGUCGCUAGUAAU
This 771-nucleotide ribosomal RNA is filed under the name uncultured bacterium. RNAcentral's name for it is "bacterial SSU rRNA". It matches the Rfam family "Bacterial small subunit ribosomal RNA", at positions 571 to 1342 of the family's 1533-position model. The record is from RNAcentral.